UACGGAGGGUGCGAGCGUUAAUCGGAAUUACUGGGCGUAAAGCGUGCGUAGGUGGUUUAUUAAGUUAGCUGUGAAAUCCCUGGGCUCAACCUGGGCAGGUCAGCUAAGACUGGUAGACUGGAGUAUAGGAGAGGGUAGUGGAAUUUCCGGUGUAGCGGUGAAAUGCGUAGAGAUCGGAAGGAACACCAGUGGCGAAGGCGGCUACCUGGCCUAAUACUGACACUGAGGCACGAAAGCGUGGGGAGCAAACAGG
Molecule: ribosomal RNA, 253 nt
Filed under: uncultured prokaryote
Description: partial 16S ribosomal RNA
Rfam family: Bacterial small subunit ribosomal RNA
Source: RNAcentral